UGAGGAUUCUUCCACAGUGGACGAAAGUCCGAUGGAGCGACCCCGCGUGAAGUAUGAAGGUCUUACGAUUGUAAACUUCUUUUCUGAAGGAGCAUAAUGAGAGUACUUCAGGAAUAAGGGCCGGCUAAAUACGUGCCAGCAGCCGCGGUAAUACGGAGGUCCCGAGCGUUACCCGGAAUCACUGGGUGUAAAGGGUUCGCAGGCGGGCAAAUAAGUGGGAUAUGAAAGCCCGAAGCUCAACUAUGUGUUUGUCUCCAAAACUGUUUUCCUUGAAUUAGGGAGAGGUAAACAGAAUUCUUAGUGUAGGGGUGCAAUCCAUAGAUACUUAAAGGAACACCGAAAGCGAAGGCAGCUUACUGGAACUAUAUUGACGCUGAGGAACGAAAGCGUGGGGAGCGAAAAGGAUUAGAUACCCUUGUAGUCCACGCCCUAAACGAUGAUAACUAAGUGUUGGGAAUAUUUCCAGUGCUGGAGCUAACGCGUAAGUUCCCCUGGGAGCGGGCAGAUG
Molecule: ribosomal RNA, 508 nt
Filed under: uncultured bacterium
Lineage: Bacteria
Description: bacterial SSU rRNA
Rfam family: Bacterial small subunit ribosomal RNA
Source: RNAcentral